CAGAGUUGAAAAACUCCCAAACCCAUGUGAACUUACCACUUGUUGCCUCGGCGGAUUGCCACUUCGGUGGUGGCCGCCGGUGGACCUUUAAACUCUUGUUAUUUUGAGUCAUCUGAGCGUCUUAUGUAAAUAAGUCA
This 137-nucleotide unclassified non-coding RNA is filed under the name soil metagenome. Its description in RNAcentral is "partial internal transcribed spacer 1". The record is from RNAcentral.